GAGAAGAGAAGCUGCUGUGGAGUCAUGCGCAAUAACAGGUCAGGACCAGAAGCCAAGAGGACUUUGUCUUGACCUCAGGGAUGUAAGAGAUUAUUGGGAGUCCCAUCUGUUGGCACACAGAUCUAGCCAGGAGGUUUGACCCUGUGCAGCUCAUUACUGGAUGGCUCCGCCCAGGUGCCUUCAAACCUGCAACUACUUACUUCUAGUGGGAAGGGGAUCAGUGACCUGGCUGAUUAAGCCAGGGAUGGCAGCAGAGCAUUCUCAAAAUGCAGACUUAGGAAAUCUGCAUCCAAAUCCCCAGGGAGCCUAUUAAACACAAGGCCAUCCAGCCCCCCUGACCUACCUGAUCAGGGCAUACAGCAGGGCACUGGCCCUUUAACAAGCUCCCCAGGGGCCUGGAUGCCCUAGGAAGUAUGGAAAUUGCUACUGUAGUUUGCAUUUUGUAAAAUAUCAAUGUUUAACCCAAAGGACAGAUGAUUUUGCUUCAGGAACUGAUACACUUGGCAGCACAUUUUGGGCACAGCAAUGCUUGGGGACUCUGCCAUAUCACACCACGUAGGAGAGGGCCGUUUCCACACAGAACUGGCUGAGCCGCUCUGGGGCUUACAAACCUGGGCUCCUUCUGAUUUCAAAUGUUUGACUGUGGAAAGCGAGAGGGUCCUUCUUUACCCCUCUCUGGAGGCUGCUCCUGGCAGCUUUUUUAUUGGUGACAGGCCGUGACAGUCUUAGGGGAACAAUUCCUUGGGGACGGGGCAGGAGGAAGGGCAGGGGUCCGAUGCAGCAUGGGACCAUCAGGGGACCUGUGCGUGGGUCUCUGGGCCAUCUGGUCCUUCAUAUCUUAAUUCUAUCAGCGUGAUGGAUGGCCAUGGGACCCAGAUUACAUCAUGGGGUUAGUUUAUUACAUUUUUGAAUACCCCUUUGCGGGAGAGACUGUUUUUCAAAGUUAUUUGCAUGUUUUCCACCAUAAUGACAAUACAGAGGACGGCAGCUGGGAGGGAAGAGUGGGGUGAAGGGGGAGAAAGAGCUUAUUUGCCGCCUGGAGCAGGCCCCUGGGGGCUCCACAAGGGGAUGAAGGGGAAACACUCCCAAGAGACAUCUACAUGGAAACAGAGCAGGUGAGCACAAGACAGGCUGAGCAGCAGCCAGCCAAGACUGGGGCCCACCCAGGCGGCGCGGGUGCUGGGGUCGCUGAACAAUCACAGGAUAAGCCACUGGUAAAACAAGACCCAGUGAAGUCUCCAGACCCCAAGAUGCUCUGAGCUCACUCCCAUGCCCUGACGCUGGUCCCAGGAUGGAUUCGCUAUCCUAUCCCGCCUGAGGUUCCCAGGACACCAGGAGAAGGGGACAGACAUAGUGAGUGAGGCACACAGCUUGGAGACAAUCCCACUGAUGCUCAAGGCCUAGGCAGUUGGAAUAUCUCCUGAACAGGGACCCAGCCUCACCCAGUCUUUCAGCACCUUACCCAGGACCUGGCCAAAUUCAGGUGCCCAGGGAAUGUGUUAAAUGCGUGGACCAAAGAAUCAUGGAGGAAGGAUCCCAGCAGCUCAGGAGGCUGAGGCAGGAGGAUGGCGAGUUCAAAGCCAGCCUCAGCAAAAGUGAGGUCCUAAGCAACUCAGUGAGACCCUGUCUCUAAGUCAAAUACAGAAUAGGGUGGGGGUGUGGCUCAGUGGUCGAGUGCCCCUGAGUUCAAUCCCCAGUACCCCCACCAAAAAAAAAAGCCUGCUGGAGGAAGGGAAUCCUGGUGGACGCAGCUCAUCAGCACUUGCCUGGCUCGGGCCCUGUGUGGUCUGGGUAAGGAGAAAACAGCUCUGAUUUCAGAGCCUGGGCUGUAGGUGGCGAUGUGGAGAGAAGAGCUGUUUUCAAAAACAAAGCAGGGUUUUGCCAUGUUCCCCACAGCGCCCCCUAUGCCCACCAGGCCUGCUUCUCUCCCCAGCACUGCUCCGUAACCAACUGCAAGGCCCUUCUCUCUCUGAACCUCAGUUUGCUCGUCUGAAAAAUGGGAUAAUGGGUCAAUUCCAUAGGGAUGAGUUAAUGGGAUACUCUUUGUUAAAACAUAAAAUGCAUAGUGCCUGGUGUAUAAAUGCUCAAUCGAUGGCCAUUAUGACAAUGAUAUUAAGACCCAUGCUCACUAUUUAAGUCCCCAGAACAACCACUUUGUACGAGCCAAUGUCCCAACCAUUCAUAGCUACACCACCUCCCGGUUUCUGCUUCCCAAGGCGGCAGCACCCGUGGUGACCUAGGGAAGCACACACAUCCCUGCGGCAUGAGAAGCCUAAAGAUGAGGGCAGGGACCCACAGACACUCCUCUCCUCCCUCACCUGGCCUGCAGUGAGGCUGGGCCUGCACAGCUGCGCCUGAUCUUGGGGUCCACUGAUGACCAGAACCCUGAUCUUGUUCCAGUAACACUGGACAACUUCCAACACCUCAGCCAGACCAAAGCCCACCCACGCCGGGCCCUCUGGGGGGUUCUGCUGACUUCCCAGUGGUGUUGACCCCUCGUUGGUCAGGGGGACCUUAAGAUCAUCUCUUCUUAAACUUUGCUCUCUUCUCAAAGAAAUGCACCAGGAAGCUAAAUAUCUUACACGAUUUUCGGAGUUUUUGGAUCCUCUGAAGCCAUCCUGGGCCACAAGAAUCACUGAUUCAGCUCAACUACCACUUUAAAAAAAAAAAUACUAUCUUUGUUGAGAUAUAAUUCUCAAGCCAAAGUUCAGACUUUUCUGUGGGUAAUUCAGCUGUUUUUAGUACAGGCAGAGUCGUGCAUCUAUCACCACCACCUAAUUCAUCACCCGAAAACCAAAUUCCCCUUCCCCACCAGCAGCCAGCCCUGCCUUCCCUUCCCUUGGCCCCUGGCCACCACCAAUCCACCUGCUGCUUCUGUGGACUUUCCUGUUCUGAAUAGUAUAAUCAUAGAAUUUGUGGCCUUUUAGGUCUUAGCACAAGGUCACAGGUUCAUCUAGGUUGUGUCAUGUAUUGAUACUUUGUUCCUUUUUAUGGCAGAAUACUAUUCCCUCAUGAAUACACCACAUUUCCCUUACUCUCUCCUCAGUUGAUGGAUCUUUGGCCAUUCGACUGCCCCAGGUUAUAGAUGGGGAAACUGAGGGCCAAAGUCACCAAAACCUGGCUGGGAAAGGAGUCUGGGUCUCUCCUAACAUCCACCAUUUCCCCACAGUAUCGCUUUGGAAGAACCCAGAGAACACAGUUCAAGCUUAUCAAAAGAUCACCAAACAGCUACAGCAGCCCUGGAGCCAGAGUCUCCAGGGUUUAUCAUCUGGUACAUAAAUGCCAUACCACAGCUUUCUCCUUGAAGAGAAGAAUCCUGCCGCCCUUGCCUUUAUCCCACUGAAAUCUAGUCUCAAGUUUAGAAAUCAGUCAAUCAGUUAAAACCCAAGUAGGAGCAUGUCUCUGUUGUGCUCACAGCCCUCCAAUUCAGACUAAAAAAACCCAGAGCCUUUACCAUGGCCUUCACAGACUCAUCUGAUCCGGUGCCAGCUUCCUGUCUGACUUUAUUGCACAAGAUCCCUUCCUUGAACAGAUGAAGCAUUCUCCUACCUCAGGACCUUAGCACUGGCUGUUCCUUUGAACUGCAUUCUCCUUCAGUCACAUGUUUCAUUUUCUUUACGAAAUGAACAAACCAACCCAACUGCCAAAGAUGGCUUUCCUGACAAUUUUAUGUAAAACCAUACCUCUUGGAAACCUCUUAUGCUUUCUUUCCUAAAUGUGCUUUGUCUUCCUAGCACUAACCACCACCUGAUUAUUUGCUAACUUGUUUAUGUUCUGCCUCCUUCACUAGAACUUAAGCUCCACAGAGCAAGGAUUGAUUCUUGUCCAGGUCAUUUACCACUGCAUUUUUGUGCUGGCCAGCACGUAGUAGGUGUUCAGUAGAUUCUUACGGGAUUAAUGAUUCA
Molecule: long non-coding RNA, 3905 nt
Filed under: Marmota monax (woodchuck)
Lineage: Eukaryota; Metazoa; Chordata; Mammalia; Rodentia; Sciuridae
Source: RNAcentral